UGUGAUUAGGAAUCCAUCUUCAAUUAGGAAUCCUCUUGUGAUUAGGAAUCCAUCUUCAAUUAGGAAUCCUUCGUUGAUUAGGAAUCCUUCGUCGAUUAGGAAUCCUUCCUCGAUUAGGAAUCCUCCUUCAUGUAAGCACUUUCCUACUUCAACUAGGAAACCUUGUUCAAGUAGGAAUCAUCAUCUUCAAGUCUUCAAAUUCGUCCAAACCUUGGCUCCAAUUAUGUGAUAAUCAUUCCAAGCCCAAUUUUGCUCCAAAAAGCUCCAAAAUGCAUCUUCUUGCAUCCUUUGGCCUUAAAACCUGAAAACACAUAAAACUAGCUUAAAAGACUACUUUAACUAAGAAAACACCAUGGAAAUGCAUAAGAACUAGCUAACUAAGGCGCAUAAAUAUGCUCCUAUCAAAUUCCCCCACACUUAGCUUUUGCUAGUCCUCGAGCAAAACAAACAAAAGAAAGGAAACAAAACGAAACAAACUAACCAAAACAAAACCUAAACCUUCCAACGUUUGCCUCAGGGAUUUCCAAUGCACAUGACAUGUUAAAGAUUGUUAUCCCCACAUAUUUGAGUCAUCUUUACACAAGCACAUACUUAAUUAAAGCCACCACUUACUAGUUCACAAGUAAUCAAUUAAAACAAUGCUUUGAAUGUAGUAACAUGCCUUAGAGAAUUCCCUCAAUUCCUUACAAGAUAUGCACUCUAUUUUCACUCAGAUUUUCUAACUCCACACCCUACACUAGUCAUAUGUGAGAAGAUUGAUGUAGAUAUGAAAAUGAAUGCUCACAUAUAUGUUUCACAAAGAACGCAAUUUCUAGAGUUAAGAAGCAUGUUUAGAUAUGAUCUCAUGAAUGGAAUGCUACUACUUAGAUGCGAGAACCAGUGACACCAUAUGCUCAUACGAAAUUCAAACUCCACAAAUUGAAACACCUAACACUCAAGAUAGAAGUUAAGGGUUGUAAAUGGGGCUUGGGUGUUGGUUAACAAGGAAAGGAUAGGGAAAACAAACGUUCUUCAAGCAAUAAAGCAAAGCAAUGAAAUUGAGACUUAGAAUUCACUUAGAUUGCAGAAAUUAACUUUAAAACACAAGGGGAAGACUUAAACAACUCCUUAGGGCCGAAUUCAUUGUUUUGGACCCUUACUUCAACAAACAAUACUUUGGAACUCUUUUUCUCAACUUUUCAACUCUUUUUUCAAACUUUUCAUAUUUUUUUCUUCAAUUUUUCUUUUUCCACGAAAUUUUUUUUUUUUUUCUUUUCUUUUCUUUUCUUUGCCGUGCCUAUGGCACACAAUUCCUCAUGAAAAACACUUCCCCCAUACUUAUUUUCUGUCAACAUAAAUCAAAAGGAAUUCAAUUUGAAUCAUGCUUUACUAUGCUUCAAGAACAAGGGUAUGGAUAGUCCUAAUCUAGGCUAGGUGAGGGUAAUGUGGGUUAACAAAGAAAAAGGCUAAACAAGGCUCAACGGGGUUAAACUUAAACAUAUAAUGGAGUAGGGCACACGGCUUUUUGGCUAAGGUGGUGGUCACUACACAACUUCAUCUUGAAUAUGUGUUAUGCAAUUCAAUGACAUGCUUUGAAUGAAAUGGGCAUGAGUUCUAGCAUUUGGAACUAAAUGAUGAAACGCCUUCUAAGUAGCAACCAAGCAAGGAAUAAUGAGAUCAUGCAACGACUUAGAAAACAAAGAAUGCACAGAUUUUAACUCUCCAAAUAAACGUUUAGGCUCAAGUCUAACAAGGUUGUAGCGUUAAUUCGAGUUUCUUCCUUCAAGCAUGUUACAAAAACUGAUUUUUCCUUUAUGAUUGCAUGUGAAUUCAUAAGUUAUAACCACAACCAAGCAUAAACAAAGAGUAAAUCAAACUUUCAUCCAUGUUAAUCACUUUCUUUAACAGUCAUGCAAUUAAAAACCAAAUCCUCAUCAUUGUGUUGGAAGGUACCCUAAGACACAAACAAACAUACAAAAACAACUCUUUUUUGGGUUUUUAAAACAAAUUUUUCAAAUUUUUAUGUGAUUUUCGGAUUUUUACUUCAAAACACCCUAAAACACACCAAAACAGCUUAAAAACACUUUAAAAACAGCAAGGAAAAGUCUAUAAGUAAAGGUUGAUAAAAUCCCACGAAUUUGCAUCAAAAACACUUAUUUACCCCCCCACACUUAAAUCAAACAUUGUCCUCAAUGUUUCAAGCAUAAACUCACACAAAACACAAAGAAACACACAAACAGCAAGUUAAAAACAAAACUGGCAGAUUAGAAACAAGCAACACAGUGAAGGGUUUUAGAAACUCAAAUUCUGGUUGUUAGAGCAAUUCCUAGGUCCCACGGCAUUGUCCUCAAUCUUCCUUAUUUGAAUGCUUCUCUUUAAGCUCCCUAGGUCCCAGGCAUGGAUUUGAUCUUUGAAUGGACGAUGAUACUUGAAAUGAACCGGCAUUGGUUUAGAUUUAGUGUAGGUACCUGAUUCAUCAAAAUCAGCAAGUUAGUAUAAAAUGUAAUGGAAAUUGGAGAAGAUGACUUACUUGCUUUGUCCGACAAGAACUCAAUGACAAACACCACUCCUUUGAAAGUUUCAGGGAUAUUGGACUUGGCCAGAUUUACUAUGAUGGUUGUGACUUGUCCAAUGUCAUCAAUUCAACUUCUUUGGGCUUUGUUGUUUCAAAUUUGUCCUCUUUGAUGAAGUCUUGACAUUCUUUAGCCACCCACUUUCUCUUGAAUCAUUCUUCUUGGGAAAACAAAGGCCUUUGAAAUAUUCAACACGAUCUAGAACUUGCUUUGUUGCACCAAGAUUGGAAUAUCCUUUUGCACCUUUGGAAGAGCUUCCACAAUGUCUUUUUCACUCUCUUCUUGCUUGGGAAUCAAAAACCUGCUAGGAAAAGGGACAUUGGGAGGAAUAACAUUAGAAUGAAAUGAAAUUGGGACGUCCUUACUUGUGGUGGGUGGGUUAGAAGGCUUAGGGGGUUGCGACAAGGGUUGUUCUACCCUUGCCGUGUGUAUGUCUUCUUCCUCCUCCUCAAUCAGCAGCUCCUCAUCCACUUCUAGGCAAUGUUUGGACGUUUUUAGGUCAGCUCCAACCUCCAUAGCACUUCCCAAAGUGAUAGCAUCAUGGAUUUCAAAAUCUUCCUUCGAAUUUUCAAUAGUUGAGUUGGAAACUUCACUUUGCUCUUGAAUUUGUGCCAUGAACUCCAUAAUCUGCCCAAUAUGCUUCUCCAAUUCACCCGUCUUCUUGGUUUGAAUUGGCAUCUCUUUGUUUCGAUUUUCUACUUCCUGGUACAAAGAGGUGAGUAACUUAUUAAACAUAUCAUUAUCCAAAGACGUACCUGAAUUGAAUUGGGCAAAUUGUUGUGAUGGAUGUGAUAGUUCAUAUGGCCAAUGAUAGAACUCCUCUUCUUGCUGCCAAUAUCCACCUUGUUGAUCCUCCUUGGCUUGAUUUUGUGAGCCCUGCAACAAAGAAUUUAAUUCAUUAAGAAUUUGAUUAUAAUCUAUUGACGAAACCUAAAAUUUGAUUGAGCAUAUUGUAUAUAAGGUUGUGGUGGAUGCAUAGGUCUUGAAUAGAACUCUUCAUAUGGCUGCCAAUAUGCUUUGUGUUGAACUUGUUGAGCUUCCCACCACAUAGAGUUUGAAUGAUCACUCCAAUCGCUUUGUGGAUAUAGAUUAGCUUCGUAUCCUUGCCUAUAAGACGCACCAAAUGUAGGGACACUUUGCAUUGUGGUCCUUUCGGCAAUCUAUGACAAUUGAGAAGUAAGAUUUGCUAAUUGAGCUUGAAUGCUAGCAAAAUCCAUGUCUUACUUCUCUAGUACCUAAAAUCAAAGAAAGAGAACUAAAUCAAAUAUCAAAAGUAACACAAAACAAGGAAAACAAAACUAAGUCAGAAACUAAAACAGAAACAAACUAAACAAAAAGAAAAGAACCAAGGGAUUAGCAAAUACUUUGCUACAAUUGUCAAAAGAGGGUUUAAUUUGUGUGCUUAAUAUAUUUCGCAUCAAAUUUUUGGCGCCGUUGCCGGGGAUUAGGAGGGAUUGCUAAACACUUGAAAACUGAUUUAAAAACUUAAAAACAAAGUUUAAAACACUAAUUUGGACUCAAAGAAUGAAAAACUAAAGUUUAAAACACUAAAACAAAACAAAAACUCAAAACAGCAACUAGAAGACUCAAAACUGUCUAAAAACCACUUUCUGGGCAGUUUUGAGCACCUACACUAAUUUGGACGAAAUUGGGUGACAACUUGACUCAAAAUACUUAAAAACAUAAACCAAAACACUUUCUAACUAAAUUAAGACUUCAAAGUAAAUGAGGAUUUGAUUUGGACGAAAAUAAAUUUGAUAAAACAGAUUGCAAAGUAAAACAGAUUUUGAAAACGUUUUUGGGGUUUUAAAUGGAUGAUGGACUAGUUAGGGGCUCUUUCUCCACACAUGACAAGUAUGCAAACGACUCAAUUUCCAGUUAUUCCUUCGUUGAUUAUGAAUACAAUGCCCCAAAUUAACCGUGACAUCACUAGUUAAUUCUCAAGUUUUCCUUGUGUUAUUGGAUUGGAUGACAUCAUUCGACAACCCAAGCAUUCCUCAAAAGUUCCUACAUGACAUCAUAAUAAAGAUACAAUCAAAGAUCAUUGCGUUCAAUGAAAACUAUAAGCAUUGAAAAGCACUUGCAACUAUGACAUCAUGUCACUCAUGCUAGGAAUUGAACUUAACGCGAUCGUGACUAGCGACCUUCAUACAUAUGAAUAUAAGUGUGUGACGAUUAUGUGAAACAACCUUAUAUUCAGCAACAUAUUCAUGCAAGCCAAUUAAGUGUCGACCCCUAAUUAACAAACACAAAUAAGUUAUUACUCGCACAAUUAAGCCAAUUGCAUUCACGAUUCAAGAACUCAUAACUAGAAUUUAUCAAUCAACUUGCAUACAUAGUCAUGGCUUCGAAAUUACCCCUAACCAAUAGGGGUUUAGCCACUCAUGUUCGUAGCAAAACGAAAGGAAAAUAAAUUAAACAUUGAAAUCAUAAAACGAAUUACACCUAGAAUGCACCAGCGAUGAAGCUUAAGCAUCCAAGAGUCCUUCCUUCUUUCUCCUUGCUGCUGCACACGAAUGGGUGAGUUUUGGGGGUUAUGAAUGGUGUAGAAUGAUGGGUUUAUGGCUGGGAUAGGUGUAUGGGACGGCUAGGGUGGUUUUUGGUCAGAAAAUAUGGUGAAUGGUGAAGGAUAGGUGCGGCAGAGAGAAGUUGGUGAUGUUUCUGGCGUGAAUGGGACUGAAUGGGCAGAUUCUUGGGUAUUUGAAUGAUGUAGAAUGGAUGGAGGAUGUAUGGAAGUGUUUAGGGUUGUGGGUGGUGCGGCUAGGGUGGUUUUGUGGCAGAAAUUUGGGUGAAUGGUGAAGGAAUGGUGCUGUUGAGAUGGAGAAUGGUUUCUGGCGUGAAGGAUUAUUUUCUGGAUGAAUGGCUAUGUUUGUGGCUGCACAAACAUGUUUAUUUAAAGGGAUUAGGAAAUUAAAAACCCUAGGCUAAUUAGGUAAUCAGAAAUUAAGUCUAAGGAUUCUAGAAUUAGGAAAUAAAUCAGAAAAUUAAAGGAAAGGGCAAGGGAAAUUCGGCUAGGGUUUAAAACACAAAAGGAAGGUGUUUUUAAAGCAUAAAAACAGGAAAUAAGGAAGAGGAAAUGCAAGGGGGGUGUGGCAAGGGUUCAAAGGGUUCUAGGCUUUGUUUUGUGUCCUAGAAUGGUUAGAAAGUCUUCAUAAUUGCUGGAACUUUUAGGACAAUUAGGAAAAAAUCAAACCAAAGUAGGAACCUGGCUUAACUUUCCUACUUCAAGUAGGAAUCCUUGUUGGAGGAGGAUCCUUGUUCUUCUAGGAUCCUCAUGUGAUUAGGAAUCCAUCUUCAAUUAGGAAUCCUCUUGUGAUUAGGAAUCCAUCCAGGAAUCCUUCGUGAUUAGGAAUCCUUCGUCGAUUAGGAUCCUCCUUCAUGUAAGCACUUUCCUACUUCAACUAGGAAACCUUGUUCAAGUAGGAAUCAUCAUCUUCAAGUCUUCAAAUUCGUCCAACCUUGGCUCCAAUUAUGUGAUAAUCAUUCCAAGCCCAAUUUUGCUCCAAAAAAGCUCCAAAAUGCAUCUUCUUGCAUCCUUGCCUAAAACCUGAAAAACACAUAAAACUAGCUUAAAAGACUACUUUAACUAAGAAAACACCAUGGAAAUGCAUAAGAA
RNAcentral lists this long non-coding RNA (6168 nucleotides) under Malus domestica (apple). RNAcentral describes it as "long non-coding RNA (MDOM_LNC020587)". The record is from RNAcentral. Lineage: Eukaryota; Viridiplantae; Streptophyta; Magnoliopsida; Rosales; Rosaceae.